Molecule: transfer RNA, 72 nt
Filed under: Flavobacterium indicum GPTSA100-9 = DSM 17447
Lineage: Bacteria; Pseudomonadati; Bacteroidota; Flavobacteriia; Flavobacteriales; Flavobacteriaceae
Description: tRNA-Asp (GTC) (tRNA-Asp-GTC-2-1)
Source: Rfam by way of RNAcentral
GGCUCAUUGUGGUAAUGGCUAACCUACCCGACUGUCUCUCGGGUGCUACGGGUUGGAUUCCCGUAUGAGCCG